Molecule: signal recognition particle RNA, 275 nt
Filed under: Microcebus murinus (gray mouse lemur)
Lineage: Eukaryota; Metazoa; Chordata; Mammalia; Primates; Cheirogaleidae
Description: Metazoan signal recognition particle RNA (ENSMICG00000046720.1)
Rfam family: Metazoan signal recognition particle RNA
About the family: The signal recognition particle (SRP) is a universally conserved ribonucleoprotein. It is involved in the co-translational targeting of proteins to membranes.
Source: RNAcentral
GCUUUAAAAAUAAAAGGGGCGCUGAGGCAGGAGGAUCGCUUGAGCCCAGGAGUUCUGGGCUGUAGUGCGCUAUGCCGAUCGGGUGUCCGCACUAAGUUCGGCAUCAAUAUGGUGACCUCCCGGGAGCGGGGGACCACCAGGUUGCCUAAGGAGGGGUGAACUGGCCCAGGUGGGAAACGGAGCAGGUCAAAACUCCCGUGCUGAUCAGUAGUGGGAUCGCGCCUGUGAAUAGCCACUGCACUCCAGCCUGGGCAACAUAGCGAGACCCCGUCUCU